AAUAUUCUAAAUAUGCGUACACAAUUGUUCAAAAGGUACUCUUACAAUAGUUCAAUAUAUUCUAGCAAAGAAUAUAUUUCACAAAAUCAAACAUAAUGUAUUCAAACUUUUACAAUAGUUCAAAAACUCUUCAUCAUCCACUUCAAUGAGAUCAAAUUGACUUGUAGCGACCCUUCAAAUUUGAUCACCUCCAUUUCCCUACACAUUUAGAAUUUACGACAAAUCAGAUUGCAACAAUUAUAUACGAGGCAAAGAGUUCCACAUAUUCCACAUUGCACAACAGUUCUGGAUUUUAAAUUUUUACGAAAAGAUGUGGUCCAAUUUGUGAAGCUGCACUAUUUUUCCAACAACACCCUCAUAAUCACACAACAGUUCUGAAUUUUAAAUUUUUACGGAAAGACGUGGUCCAAUUUGUGAAGCUGUACUAUUUUUCCAACAACACCCUCAUAAUCACACAGUUAUCAAAAAACAGAGGAGCUGUUAAUAUUUCUAUUGCAUUUAAUGGGUGGUGAUUUCCUUGUAUUUCAACUCUCCUUUGACAGGUAUGCUCACACUCAACAUUAGCAUCUUAUUUCCACUCUCCUAUUUUCUAUUCCCCUAUCCUAGUUUUUAAAAGUUUUAGUCAUUCUUAGUUGAAUUUACCAAAAGCAUAUCAUGCACACAUGCCGUAUGCUUCCUUUGCUAAUUUCUCUAAGAUAUAAACUUCAAUUUGCUUGAUGAUGGCCUAAUAGAUCUUUAUGUUAUGAGAGAACUGAUGAUACUAAGACCAAAGUUUCAGGAAUGCAUAUCCAUUAACUUACCAGAAAUCUAGAAGUUACAACUUACAAAAACCUUUUUGGGUCUUUUAUUAUUUUCUUCCGAAAAAUAAUGCUUUGGAAGGGACACAAAAUGAGUCAGCUGCUUGUUGAGUUGAUUUGUAAAAGACAUCAAAAGUAGAUGUUUAGCUAUAUGAAUCCUAGAUGUUAAAGAUAAGCAUGAAACCUUAUAAAACAACAACUAUACAUCAAUUCAAAACUAGUUGCUUUAGCUAUAUGAAUCCUCAAUAUUCAUAUUCAUUUCAAAACCUGAUGGAUUUCCAGAUUCCAGAUUUCCAGAUUUCCAAAUUCCAGAUUUCCAAAUUUCCAAAUUUCCAGAUUUCCAGAUUUCAGAUUCCAGAUUCCAAAUUCCAAAUUUCCAGAUUUUAGAUUCCAGAUUCCAGAUUUCCAGAUUCCAGAUUCCAGAUUUCCAGAUUUCCAAAUUUCCAGAUUCCAGAUUCCAGAUUCCAAAUUUCCAUAUUUCCAUAUUUCCAGUGUGCAACUUUAACAGAAAAAGUGUGUAACUUUAACAGAAAACUGUCUAUCAAACUGCACCUCCGGAUCUUGUCCCAACCAUUUUUGCGACUCAAAUUCACUACCAGCCCAUGAUUUCUAAUCAACCAAUC
This 1420-nucleotide long non-coding RNA is filed under the name Solanum tuberosum (potato). RNAcentral's name for it is "long non-coding RNA (STUB_LNC009847)". The record is from RNAcentral. Lineage: Eukaryota; Viridiplantae; Streptophyta; Magnoliopsida; Solanales; Solanaceae.